GAAAUGCGAUAAGUAGUGUGAAUUGCAGAAUUCAGUGAAUCAUCGAAUCUUUGAACGCACAUUGCGCCCCUUGGUAUUCCAUGGGGCAUGCCUGUUCGAGCGUCAUUUGUACCCUCAAGCUCUGCUUGGUGUUGGGUGUUUGUCCCCGUCUCCGCGCGUGGACUCGCCCCAAAGUGAUUGGCAGCAGGCGUACUGGUCCCGGAGCGCAGCACAUGUCGCGCAAACGAGUGCCUUGGUACGGCGGCGUCCAUCAGCCCCUCUCUCACGCUCUUGACCUCGGAUCAGGUAGGGAUACCCGCUGAACUUAAGC
Molecule: unclassified non-coding RNA, 310 nt
Filed under: plant metagenome
Description: partial contains 5.8S ribosomal RNA, internal transcribed spacer 2, and large subunit ribosomal RNA
Rfam family: 5.8S ribosomal RNA (bases 1-105)
Source: RNAcentral